UACGUAGGGGGCGAGCGUUGUCCAGAUUUAUUGGGCGUAAAGAGCGUGUAGGCGGCCAGGUAGGUCUGCUGUGAAAACUCGAGGCUCAACCUCGAGACGUCGGCGGAAACCAUCUGGCUAGAGUCCGGAAGAGGAGAGUGGAAUUCCUGGUGUAGCGGUGAAAUGCGCAGAUAUCAGGAAGAACACCCGUGGUGAAGGCGGUUCUCUGGGACGGUACUGACGCUGAGACGCGAAAGCGUGGGGAGCGAACAGG
This 253-nucleotide ribosomal RNA is filed under the name uncultured bacterium. RNAcentral describes it as "partial 16S ribosomal RNA". It matches the Rfam family "Bacterial small subunit ribosomal RNA", at positions 524 to 776 of the family's 1533-position model. The record is from RNAcentral.